AAUCAACGCUGGCGGCGUGCCUCAGACAUGCAAGUCGAACGCGAAAGUCCCCUUCGGGGGACAAGUAGAGUGGCGCACGGGUGAGUAACACGUAGGUAAUCUACCUUCGGGCGGGGAAUAACAAUCGGAAACGGUUGCUAAUACCGCAUAAUGCAGCGGCACCUAAUGGUGACAGUUGUUAAAGCGGGGGAUCGCAAGACCUCGCACCUGAAGAGGAGCCUGCGGCGGAUUAGCUAGNGGUAGGGUAACAGCCUACCAAGGCGACGAUCCGUAGCCGGCCUGAGAGGGCGGCCGGCCACACUGACACUGACAUACGGGUCAGACUCCUACGGGAGGCAGCAGUCGGGAAUUUUGGGCAAUGGGCGAAAGCCU
Molecule: ribosomal RNA, 372 nt
Filed under: uncultured bacterium
Lineage: Bacteria
Description: bacterial SSU rRNA
Rfam family: Bacterial small subunit ribosomal RNA
Source: RNAcentral